ACUUUUCGUUGUAGCAAUACGAUGGAAAGUUUAGUGGCGAACGGGUGCUUAACACGUGGGCAACCUGCCAUGAAGUGGGGGAUAGCUCGCCGAAAGGCGAAUUAAUACCGCAUGUGAUUAGAGAGGACAUCCUUUCAAAAUUAAAGUCGGGGCAACCUGACGCUUCUUGUGGGGCCCGCGGCCUAUCAGCUAGUUGGUGAGGUAACGGCUCACCAAGGCUUUGACGGGUAGCUGGUCUGAGAGGACGACCAGCCACACUGGGACUGAGACACGGCCCAGACACCUACGGGUGGCAGCAGUCGAGAAUUUUUGACAAUGGGGGAAACCCUGAUCGAGCGACGCCGCGUGGAGGAUGAAGGUCUUCGGAUUGUAAACUCCUGUCAUUUGGGAACAAGGUGCACACGUUAACUGCGUGAGUAUUGAUAGUACCAGAAGAGGAAGAGACGGCUAACUCUGUGCCAGCAGCCGCGGUAAUACAGAGGUCUCAAGCGUUGUUCGGAUUCAUUGGGCGUAAAGGGUGCGUAGGCGGCGCGGUAAGUCGGGUGUGAAAUCUCGGAGCUUAACUCCGAAACUGCAUUCGAUACUGCCGUGCUUGAGGACUGGAGAGGAGACUGGAAUUUACGGUGUAGCGGUGAAAUGCGUAGAUAUCGUAAGGAAGACCAGUGGCGAAGGCGGGUCUCUGGACAGUUCCUGACGCUGAGGCACGAAGGUCAGGGGAGCAAACGGGAUUAGAUACCCCGGUAGUCCUGACAGUAAACGGUGCACGUUUGGUGUGGGAGGAUUCGACCCCUUCUGCG
This 797-nucleotide ribosomal RNA is filed under the name uncultured Verrucomicrobiota bacterium. Its description in RNAcentral is "bacterial SSU rRNA". It matches the Rfam family "Bacterial small subunit ribosomal RNA", at positions 66 to 845 of the family's 1533-position model. Lineage: Bacteria; Pseudomonadati; Verrucomicrobiota. The record is from RNAcentral.